CUUGCUCCCGGAUGUUAGCGGCGGACGGGUGAGUAACACGUGGGUAACCUGCCUGUAAGACUGGGAUAACUCCGGGAAACCGGAGCUAAUACCGGAUAGUUCCUUGAACCGCAUGGUUCAAGGAUGAAAGACGGUUUCGGCUGUCACUUACAGAUGGACCCGCGGCGCAUUAGCUAGUUGGUGGGGUAAUGGCUCACCAAGGCGACGAUGCGUAGCCGACCUGAGAGGGUGAUCGGCCACACUGGGACUGAGACACGGCCCAGACUCCUACGGGAGGCAGCAGUAGGGAAUCUUCCGCAAUGGACGAAAGUCUGACGGAGCAACGCCGCGUGAGUGAUGAAGGUUUUCGGAUCGUAAAGCUCUGUUGUUAGGGAAGAACAAGUGCGAGAGUAACUGCUCGCACCUUGACGGUACCUAACCAGAAAGCCACGGCUAACUACGUGCCAGCAGCCGCGGUAAUACGUAGGUGGCAAGCGUUGUCCGGAAUUAUUGGGCGUAAAGGGCUCGCAGGCGGUUUCUUAAGUCUGAUGUGAAAGCCCCCGGCUCAACCGGGGAGGGUCAUUGGAAACUGGGAAACUUGAGUGCAGAAGAGGAGAGUGGAAUUCCACGUGUAGCGGUGAAAUGCGUAGAGAUGUGGAGGAACACCAGUGGCGAAGGCGACUCUCUGGUCUGUAACUGACGCUGAGGAGCGAAAGCGUGGGGAGCGAACAGGAUUAGAUACCCUGGUAGUCCACGCCGUAAACGAUGAGUGCUAAGUGUUAGGGGGGUUUCCGCCCCUUAGUGCUGCAGCUAACGCAUUAAGCACUCCGCCUGGGGAGUACGGUCGCAAGACUGAAACUCAAAGGAAUUGACGGGGGCCCGCACAAGCGGUGGAGCAUGUGGUUUAAUUCGAAGCAACGCGAAGAACCUUACCAGGUCUUGACAUCCUCUGACAACCCUAGAGAUAGGGCUUUCCCUUCGGGGACAGAGUGACAGGUGGNGCAUNNNGNCGUCAGCUCGNGNCNNGAAGAAUGNUNGGUUAAGUCCCGCAACNNGCGCAACCCCUUUGAAU
This 1051-nucleotide ribosomal RNA is filed under the name Bacillus pumilus. RNAcentral describes it as "bacterial SSU rRNA". It matches the Rfam family "Bacterial small subunit ribosomal RNA", at positions 79 to 1112 of the family's 1533-position model. Lineage: Bacteria; Bacillati; Bacillota; Bacilli; Caryophanales; Bacillaceae. The record is from RNAcentral.